UAUUUCACAAUGGGCGCAAGCCUGAUGCAGCCAUGCCCCGUGUAUGAAGAAGGCCUUCGGGUUGUAAAGUACUUUCAGCGGGGAGGAAGGGAGUAAAGUUAAUACCUUUGCUCAUUGACGUUACCCGCAGAAGAAGCACCGUCUAACUCCGUGCCAGCAGCCGCGGUAAUACGGAGGGUGCCAGCGUUAAUCGGACUUCAUGGGCGUAAAGCGCACGCAGGCGGUUUGUUAAGUCAGAUGUGAAAUCCCCGGGCUCAACCUGGGAACUGCAUCUGAUACUGGCAAGCUUGAGUCUCGUAGAGGGGGGCAGAAUUCCAGGUGUAGCGGUGAAAUGCGUAGAGAUCUGGAGGAAUACCGGUGGCGAAGGCGGCCCCCUGGACGAAGACUGACGCUCAGGUGCGAAAGCGUGGGGAGCAAACAG
RNAcentral lists this ribosomal RNA (421 nucleotides) under uncultured bacterium. RNAcentral describes it as "bacterial SSU rRNA". It matches the Rfam family "Bacterial small subunit ribosomal RNA", at positions 362 to 775 of the family's 1533-position model. The record is from RNAcentral.